This 377-nucleotide ribosomal RNA is filed under the name uncultured bacterium. RNAcentral's name for it is "bacterial SSU rRNA". It matches the Rfam family "Bacterial small subunit ribosomal RNA", at positions 523 to 898 of the family's 1533-position model. The record is from RNAcentral.
AUACGUAGGUGGCGAGCGUUGUCCGGAAUUACUGGGUGUAAAGGGCGUGUAGGCGGGGAUGCAAGUCAGAUGUGAAAUUCCAAGGCUCAACCUUGGCGGUGCAUCUGAAACUGUGUCUCUUGAGUGCUGGAGAGGAAAGUGGAAUUCCUAGUGUAGCGGUGAAAUGCGUAGAGAUUAGGAGGAACACCAGUGGCGAAGGCGACUUUCUGGACAGUAACUGACGCUGAGGCGCGAAAGCGUGGGGAGCAAACAGGAUUAGAUACCCUGGUAGUCCACGCCGUAAACGAUGGAUACUAGGUGUAGGAGGUAUCGACCCCUUCUGUGCCGGAGUUAACACAAUAAGUAUCCCACCUGGGGAGUACGAUCGCAAGAUUGAA